RNAcentral lists this ribosomal RNA (483 nucleotides) under uncultured bacterium. RNAcentral's name for it is "partial 16S ribosomal RNA". It matches the Rfam family "Bacterial small subunit ribosomal RNA", at positions 28 to 507 of the family's 1533-position model. The record is from RNAcentral.
GACGAACGCUGGCGGCGUGCUUAACACAUGCAAGUCGAACGCUGAAGCUCAGCUUUUGUUGGGUGGAUGAGUGGCGAACGGGUGAGUAACACGUGAGUAACCUGCCUCCUUCUUUGGGAUAACGCCCGGAAACGGGUGCUAAUACUGGAUAUUCACUGGUCUUCGCAUGGGGGUUGGUGGAAAGGGUUUUUCUGGUGGGGGAUGGGCUCGCGGCCUAUCGGCUUGUUGGUGGGGUGAUGGCCUACCAAGGCUUUGACGGGUAGCCGGCCUGAGAGGGUGACCGGUAACAUUGGGACUGAGAUACGGCCCAGACUCCGACGGGAGGCAGAAGUGGGGAAUAUUGCACAAUGGGCGAAAGCCUGAUGCAGCGACGCCGCGUGAGGGAUGGAGGCCUUCGGGUUGUGAACCUCUUUCGCUCAUGGUCAAGCCGCAACAAUGGUUGUGGUGAGGGUAGUGGGUAAAGAAGCGCCGGCUAACUACGUG